GCUCUGGUGGCUCAAUCGGAUAGAGCGUUGGACUUCUAAUCUAAAGGCGGCGGGUUCAAGUCCCGCCCAGAGUA
This 74-nucleotide transfer RNA is filed under the name Perkinsus olseni. It matches the Rfam family "tRNA". From Rfam's summary of the family: Transfer RNA (tRNA) molecules are approximately 80 nucleotides in length. Their secondary structure includes four short double-helical elements and three loops (D, anti-codon, and T loops). Lineage: Eukaryota; Perkinsozoa; Perkinsida; Perkinsidae. The record is from Rfam by way of RNAcentral.